This is a non-coding RNA of Ceratotherium simum simum (southern white rhinoceros), 853 nucleotides long. The record is from RefSeq and is a predicted model, not a curated record. NCBI's taxonomy places the organism in Eukaryota, Metazoa, Chordata, Mammalia, Perissodactyla, Rhinocerotidae.
GCUGAACCAGGAGUCAGGAGGCCUGGAUGAGCCACAUACUUGCUGGGCCUCCACUUCUCCACCUGUAAAGUGAAGGAGUUUAACAAGAUGGUGCCCAAGGCUCCUUCUGACCUUAUGACCACUGAGUGUUUUGCCAGGGGGAUCCAUUUUUCGCAGAUACUGAUGACAUGUAGCAGACUUUAUACCUUGGGGAGGCAGAGUAACUUGAUGUGUAACAUACAAUAACCACUUUUGAGAUUUGGUACUCCUGUGUUGCUGAGAAUGAAUAUCUAAAUGAUUGAAGUUUUAAGGCCAAGGAGAAGUUGUUUAGUUUUGCCUUGUUUUAAAAUCACUGUUAGUCGCAGAGUUUGCAAUCUCUGGAUACCUUCACAUCCUAGUUCUCAGUGUGGAAUUCUUAAUCUCAAGGUGUUUCCUUUCCUCGAUCAGCAUAGGACUGCACCCCCGACUCCUUCAGUCAGCUUUGCCCAAAAUAAAUUUUGGUAUUAACCAAAGUCAAAUGGGAUUAGAAGGAUAAUUCAACAGCAAAAGAACUGUAAAUUGUAUUCCCUACCCAGAGAGAAAAUACCUUGUGGAUUGUGUAGUCCUCUGGUGAGUGUUCUCUCUUCCUGCUGGCGACCAGAUCAAUCAGGAAUUGGUUACAGACAUGUGCUGUGGCCACAGCGGCCCUUAUAGGAUUCUGUGUAGAUGAUGAGGGGCCCAGGAGGCCCAUCUGAAAUGUGUGGACCUGACCCCGAGGAGGUUCUGCUACAAACCCCCUGAGCCUAGGAGGUUCUCUACUUACCAAAGGUUUGUUUCUGGAGGAUUUUCCUGUGGCUUUGGUAAUUAAAAAAAAAAACAAAAGCUUUCAUUGGCA